This 49-nucleotide non-coding RNA is filed under the name Alexandrium minutum. The record is from RNAcentral. Lineage: Eukaryota; Dinophyceae; Gonyaulacales; Pyrocystaceae.
UUUUUUUUUUUUUUUUUUUUUUUUUUUUUUUUUUUUUUUUUUUUUUUCG